UAUAAAAAGGUGUAAAGUAGAAAAAUAUUUAACAGUAUUUCUAUAUAUUUUAUAUCGGAAAGGAGUAAUUUGUUGGCGGAAAAAUGAAAAUAAUUACAUUAUUCCUUGUGGUCGCAUGUAUUGUUGCCGCUGCAAUGGCAGAUCCAGACAAUUUUAAUGCCCAAGGUGUUGUUAAUUCCGGUUAUUGGAAUCAAGGAGGAAAAUAAUUUAUAUUAAUUAAUACGUUUAUAUUAAAAAUAUAAAUAAAUUUAUAAUUUGUAUUUAAUUUAUAAAAAAAA
Molecule: long non-coding RNA, 278 nt
Organism: Lucilia sericata (common green bottle fly)
Lineage: Eukaryota; Metazoa; Arthropoda; Insecta; Diptera; Calliphoridae
Exons: 2
Source: RefSeq, a predicted model, not a curated record